UACGGAGGAUGCAAGCGUUAUCCGGAAUUAUUGGGCGUAAAGCGUCCGCAGGUGGCUCGUCAAGUCUGCUGUCAAAGCGUGGAGCUUAACUCCAUACAGGCAGUGGAAACUGGGGAGCUAGAGUUCGGUAGGGGUAGCGGGAAUUCCCAGUGUAGCGGUGAAAUGCGUAGAUAUUGGGAAGAACACCGGCGGCGAAAGCGCGCUACUGGGCCGAGACUGACACUGAGGGACGAAAGCUAGGGGAGCGAAAGGG
RNAcentral lists this ribosomal RNA (253 nucleotides) under uncultured bacterium. Its description in RNAcentral is "partial 16S ribosomal RNA". It matches the Rfam family "Bacterial small subunit ribosomal RNA", at positions 524 to 776 of the family's 1533-position model. The record is from RNAcentral.